This 401-nucleotide ribosomal RNA is filed under the name uncultured soil bacterium. Its description in RNAcentral is "bacterial SSU rRNA". It matches the Rfam family "Bacterial small subunit ribosomal RNA", at positions 26 to 427 of the family's 1533-position model. The record is from RNAcentral.
AGAUUGAACGCUGGCGGCAGGCCUAACACAUGCAAGUCGAGCGGCAGCACGGGUACUUGUACCUGGUGGCGAGCGGCGGACGGGUGAGUAAUGCCUAGGAAUCUGCCUAGUGGUGGGGGAUAACGUUCGGAAACGGACGCUAAUACCGCAUACGUCCUACGGGAGAAAGCGGGGGACCUUCGGGCCUCACGCCAUUAGAUGAGCCUAGGUCGGAUUAGCUAGUUGGUGAGGUAAUGGCUCACCAAGGCGACGAUCCGUAACUGGUCUGAGAGGAUGAUCAGUCACACUGGAACUGAGACACGGUCCAGACUCCUACGGGAGGCAGCAGUGGGGAAUAUUGGACAAUGGGCGAAAGCCUGAUCCAGCCAUGCCGCGUGUGUGAAGAAGGUCUUACGGGAUUA